GGUCCAGAAGAAGAUCGUAAUCUUGAAGAUGGAGACGAACCAAUGUCAUGAUGAUCGGACGGCUCUGAUCUUUCUCGGAACAGGCUGCUCCGGUGCAGUUCCCGAUUUCAGAUGCUUACUCCAGCCGUCGGAUCCUCCUUGCCAUGUCUGUUCUCAGUCCAUCUCUUUACUUCCUCACCUUAACCCGAACUACAGAUGCAACACAUCGCUCUUGAUUGAUUAUUGCAACAAGGAAGAAGAUGGUAGACACUAUUACAUUAUUAUUGAUGUUGGGAAGAGUUUUAGAGAGCAAGUCCUUCGUUGGUUCACCUUCUAUAAGAUUCCCCGACUCGAUUCUAUCAUUCUAACUCAUGAGCACGCAGACGCGGUUCACGGCUUAGAUGAAAUUCGAUCUCUUCAACCUCGCGGGGGUUGUUCAACUGAUCCACUUCCUGUAUUCCUAUCUCAGUUUACAAUGGAAAGCAUUUCUUCCAAGUUCCCUUAUUUGGUUGAGAAGAAGGUUAAAGAAGUACAUAGACGGGUUUCGUUGCUUGACUGGACAAUAAUCGAAGAGAACUGCGACAAACCAUUCACCGUCUCAGGCUUAUCUUUCACGCCUCUACCGGUAAUGCAUGGAGAGGACUACAUUGCUCUAGGUUUCCUUUUCGGCAAUAAAAGUAAAGUGGCUUAUAUAUCAGAUGUUUCGCGCAUUCCACCGAGUACCGAGUAUGCUAUUUCAAAAACCGGGGCUGGACAGUUAGAUCUUCUUAUCCUGGAUACAAAUAUACCGCGGAAGAGAGGACCACAUCCCACACACAUCUGUUUUCCUGAGGCUCUUGAGAUUAUAAAGAAGCUCUCCCCCAAGAGAGCACUUUUAACGGGUAUGACACACGACUUUGAUCACCAUGAAUACAAUGAGAUACUUGCGGAAUGGUCUCUAAGGGAAGGAAUCCAUGUACAGCUUGCUCACGACGGAUUAAGGCUUCCGAUAGAGCUAUGAGGAAAUUGCUAAAUCCAGAUUUAAGAAAAGGAGAGACAAAUCUCAGAAUUCAAGCCUUGAAGCAAAUUCUCUAAAUCUGAAAUCUCAUUCUCAAGAUUCACUUCAUCUUCUCUUGUGAUCUUCUCAUGCAACUUGAGAUCGGUAUCCGUCAAUAGACUUGAGAAGCUGUUCAGACAACUCUUUGUUUCUUCCCUGAAGAGACGCAUCCUUGCAUCCUUGACCAUCA
RNA transcript from Capsella rubella, 1205 nucleotides. It is a transcript of the gene named putative hydrolase C777.06c, with no coding region annotated. The transcript has 11 exons. The record is from RefSeq and is a predicted model, not a curated record. Lineage: Eukaryota; Viridiplantae; Streptophyta; Magnoliopsida; Brassicales; Brassicaceae.